Molecule: ribosomal RNA, 272 nt
Filed under: Exophiala sideris
Lineage: Eukaryota; Fungi; Ascomycota; Eurotiomycetes; Chaetothyriales; Herpotrichiellaceae
Description: partial 18S ribosomal RNA
Source: RNAcentral
UAAUCAGAUUGAGGCAUUGAGCCCCAGUGAAUUCUCUCUGUCAUGGGCGAUUAUCCGAAAGUCAGCCGCCCACCAAAGUGAAGGUCCCCACUGGCUUUUAGGGACGCGAAAAGGCGAUGGACCCGCACACUUAAAAACUUUCUUUCUUUAGUUAAAGAGUGUUUGGACAAAUAGGGCGCGUUCCCAGGCUCCUAACGUCAAUAAGCUCUUUGUUCCGCGUCCAAAAAUAAAAACAAACCCGUUCGGUAGGUGACCUUGCGGAAGGAUCAUUA